Molecule: long non-coding RNA, 487 nt
Filed under: Anser brachyrhynchus (Pink-footed goose)
Lineage: Eukaryota; Metazoa; Chordata; Aves; Anseriformes; Anatidae
Description: lncRNA (ENSABRG00000005574.1)
Source: RNAcentral
GCUUUCUGUAUCUAUGAGAAUGUAGGGUGCUUUACUUCACCCUAGUUUUGACAGAACACUGGAGUGAAACCAGAUCAAGAGGACAAUAACUAACGAGAACAACUUUAAAAAGUGGACUCUGCCUUGACAUGAACAAUCAGAAGGUCCUCACAACAAUUUAGCAUCCCAAGCUACGAACCUGCUGGCCUGUUUGAAUUUCAUGGCGUGGUUCCAGAGGACAAUCCCCUGUUUGCUGCCUAUGCUGGAAGUACAUCCUCCAUCUGCAGAUCUUUGGAAACACUCUACCCGCUGUGUCUCAAUGCCCCUGUGGCCAAGCUAUUGUGUUGAGCAAAGAGAUGGACCAUGCCAUAGUCUGUAAUGCUGCAGGGAGACAGCAUCCCCAUGCCAAGUCUCAGAGGCUGAAGAAAAAGUCCUCUGCAUGCUAGGGGUCCAACUCCUGUUAAUCAGGAGUAAUAAAGAAAUAGACUUUGAUCUGAGGUAAUGUAAU